Zea mays is the source of this 275-nucleotide long non-coding RNA. RefSeq lists it as uncharacterized. Lineage: Eukaryota; Viridiplantae; Streptophyta; Magnoliopsida; Poales; Poaceae. The record is from RefSeq and is a predicted model, not a curated record. The transcript has 3 exons.
AUCUAUAACAAGAUGAAAGUGGUGGCAGCCAAGAUGAAAGUGGUGGUGGCCGCAUCAAAGGAGAAGGUGCAACAAGACGAACCGAAAGCUGCUAUCUCAGAUGUGAAAUGUGACAACCCAAAAGAGGAGGGCAAUGUGCAGCAAACCAAAAGUUGUUGCCUCAGAUGUGAAAUGUGAUGACCUAGAGCAGGAGGAAGAUUCCAAUAAAAAUGGGGAACUGGAGGAGUGUAACAAAUGUGUAAUUUAUUUUUUCCACUCUAUAUGCUAUCUUAGAA